AAGUGGAAACCCUUGAACCAUUUAUUAAUAAGUUUCAAAAAUUAAUAACCUGUGAAAGUGAAUCUUAAUGUAAAGGGAACACAUGUGAAUCAUGUAUUUAUUAAAGGUGCCGUAGAAUGGAAAAUUGAAUUUACCUUGGCAUAGUUGAAUAACAAGAGUACAUGGAAAUGACAUACAGUGAGUCUCAAACACCAUUGUUUCCUAAUAUAACGGGAUCAUUAAUAUGCACGCUCCUAAUAUUUGCAAAUGCAAUUAGUUUGUAUAUUAUAUGUAUAAUCGCUGUGUUAGUUUGUAUUUAUAUUAAACAAAUAACCGCUCCGGCGCUCCCGCUUCUGUCGUUUAACGUUACUGUGUGGAUGGCCAUCAUUAAUAAAUGGUUCACAGGUUUCCACUUUACAUUAAGGUUCCCUUUCACGGUUUAUUAAUGUUUAUAAGUCAUUAAUAAAUGGUUCACAGGUUUCCACUUUACAUUAAGGUUCACUUUCAUAGGCUAUUAAUGUUUAUAAGUCAUUAAUAAAUGGUUCACAGGUUUCCGCUUUACAUUAAGGUUCACUUUCACAGGUUAUUAAUGUUUAUAACUCAUUAAUAAAUGGUUCACAUGUGUUCACUUUACAUUAAGGUUCACUUCCACAGGUUAUUAAUGUUCAUAAGUCAUUAAUAAAUGGUUCACAGGUUUCCACUUUACAUUAAGGUUCACUUUCACGGUUUGUUAAUGUUUAUAAGUCAUUAAUAAAUGGUUCACAGGUUUCCACUUUACAUUAAGGUUCACUUUCACAGGUUUAUUAAUGUUUAUAACUCAUUAAUAAAUGAUUGACAGGUUUCCACUUUACAUUAAGGUUCACUUUCAUAGGUUAUUCAUGUUUAUAAGUCAUUAAUAAAUGGUUCACAGUUUUCCACUUUACAUUAAGGUUCACUUUCACAGGUUAUUUAUGUUUAUAAGUCAUUAAUAAAUGGUUCACAGGUUUCCACUUUACAUUAAGGUUCACUUUCACAGGUUAUUAAUGUUUAUAACUCAUUAAUAAAUAGUUCACAGGUUUCCACUUUACAUUAAGGUUCACUUUCAUAGGUUAUUAAUGUUUAUAACUCAUUAAUAAAUGGUUCACAGGUUUCCACUUUACAUUAAGGUUCACUUUCACAGGUUAUUAAUGUUUAUAACUCAUUAAUAAAUAGUUCACAGGUUUCCACUUUACAUUAAGGUUCACUUUCAUAGGCUAUUAAUGUUUAUAAGUCAUUAAUAAAUGGUUCACAGGUUUCCACUUUACAUUAAGGUUCACUUUCAUAGGCUAUUAAUGUUUAUAAGUCAUUAAUAAAUGGUUCACAGGUUUCCGCUUUACAUUAAGGUUCACUUUCACAGGUUAUUAAUGUUUAUAACUCAUUAAUAAAUGGUUCACAUGUGUUCACUUUACAUUAAGGUUCACUUCCACAGGUUAUUAAUGUUCAUAAGUCAUUAAUAAAUGGUUCACAGGUUUCCACUUUACAUUAAGGUUCACUUUCACGGUUUGUUAAUGUUUAUAAGUCAUUAAUAAAUGGUUCACAGGUUUCCACUUUACAUUAAGGUUCACUUUCACAGGUUUAUUAAUGUUUAUAACUCAUUAAUAAAUGAUUGACAGGUUUCCACUUUACAUUAAGGUUCACUUUCAUAGGUUAUUCAUGUUUAUAAGUCAUUAAUAAAUGGUUCACAGGUUUCCACUUUACAUUAAGGUUCACUUUCACAGGUUAUUUAUGUUUAUAAGUCAUUAAUAAAUGGUUCACAGGUUUCCACUUUACAUUAAGGUUCACUUUCACAGGUUAUUAAUGUUUAUAACUCAUUAAUAAAUAGUUCACAGGUUUCCACUUUACAUUAAGGUUCACUUUCAUAGGUUAUUAAUGUUUAUAACUCAUUAAUAAAUGGUUCACAGGUUUCCACUUUACAUUAAGGUUCACUUUCACAGGUUAUUAAUGUUUAUAACUCAUGAAUAAAAUGGUUCACAAGUGUCCAUCCUACAUUAGGGUUCAUAAGUAACUAAUACUGGGAUUACAUUUUUCAUCAAGUUAUGGUUAUCUUUUUUUUUUUUUUUUUUU
Ctenopharyngodon idella (grass carp) is the source of this 2061-nucleotide long non-coding RNA. RefSeq lists it as uncharacterized. The transcript has 2 exons. NCBI's taxonomy places the organism in Eukaryota, Metazoa, Chordata, Actinopteri, Cypriniformes, Xenocyprididae. The record is from RefSeq and is a predicted model, not a curated record.